This 574-nucleotide ribosomal RNA is filed under the name uncultured fungus. RNAcentral describes it as "eukaryotic LSU rRNA". The stretch from base 217 to 370 matches the Rfam family "5.8S ribosomal RNA". Lineage: Eukaryota; Fungi. The record is from RNAcentral.
UUUAGAGGAAGUAAAAGUCGUAACAAGGUCUCCGUAGGUGAACCUGCGGAGGGAUCAUUACAAGUGACCCCGGUCUAACCACCGGGAUGUUCAUAACCCUUUGUUGUCCGACUCUGUUGCCUCCGGGGCGACCCUGCCUUCGGGCGGGGGCUCCGGGUGGACACUUCAAACUCUUGCGUAACUUUGCAGUCUGAGUAAACUUAAUUAAUAAAUUAAAACUUUUAACAACGGAUCUCUUGGUUCUGGCAUCGAUGAAGAACGCAGCGAAAUGCGAUAAGUAAUGUGAAUUGCAGAAUUCAGUGAAUCAUCGAAUCUUUGAACGCACAUUGCGCCCCCUGGUAUUCCGGGGGGCAUGCCUGUUCGAGCGUCAUUUCACCACUCAAGCCUCGCUUGGUAUUGGGCAACGCGGUCCGCCGCGUGCCUCAAAUCGACCGGCUGGGUCUUCUGUCCCCUAAGCGUUGUGGAAACUAUUCGCUAAAGGGUGUUCGGGAGGCUACGCCGUAAAACAACCCCAUUUCUAAGGUCGACCUCGGAUCAGGUAGGGAUACCCGCUGAACUUAAGCAUAUCAAUAAG